GACGAACGCUGGCGGCGUGCUUAACACAUGCAAGUCGAACGGAAAGGCCCUGCUUUUGUGGGGUGCUCGAGUGGCGAACGGGUGAGUAACACGUGAGUAACCUGCCCUUGACUUUGGGAUAACUUCAGGAAACUGGGGCUAAUACCGGAUAGGAGCUCCUGCUGCAUGGUGGGGGUUGGAAAGUUUCGGCGGUUGGGGAUGGACUCGCGGCUUAUCAGCUUGUUGGUGGGGUAGUGGCUUACCAAGGCUUUGACGGGUAGCCGGCCUGAGAGGGUGACCGGCCCAUUGGGGACUGGGAAACGGCCCAGACCCCGACGGGGGGCAGAGGGGGGGAAUUUGGCAAAAGGGGGGGAAGCCUGAGGCAGAAACGCCGGGGGGGGGAUGACGGCCUUCGGGUUGAAAACCCCUUUCACCUGUGACGAAGGGUGGGUGGCGGGAAUGGGUAAAGAAGCACCGGCUAAAUACGG
Molecule: ribosomal RNA, 467 nt
Filed under: uncultured bacterium
Lineage: Bacteria
Description: partial 16S ribosomal RNA
Rfam family: Bacterial small subunit ribosomal RNA
Source: RNAcentral